CGGACGAGAAAGACAGGCAAGAGAUAAUAGUAGCAGAAUUUCACAAAAAAAUCAAAGAGGCAUUUGAAGUGUUUGACCAUGAGUCGAAUAAUACAGUGGAUGUGAGAGAGAUUGGAACAAUUAUCAGGUCAUUAGGAUGCUGCCCUACUGAAGGAGAGCUGCAUGAUCUGAUUGCAGAGGAGGAGAAGCCAGGCAUAUCAGGGCCUUGGUUUUCCAGGUAGAGGAAGAAGAACCCACUGGAUACAUUCGAUUCGAAAAAUUUCUUCCGGUGAUGACAGAAAUACUACUAGAAAGAAUACAGACCAAUUCCAGAAGAUGUCCUUCUUCGAGCUUUUGAGGUUUUAGAUUCAGCUAAACGUGGAUUUCUUACUAAGGACGAACUGAUCAAGUAUAUGACUGAAGAAGGUGAGCCUUUUUCUCAAGAGGAAAUGGAAGAAAUGUUGUCUGCUGCAAUUGAUCCAGAAUCAAAUUCAAUUAAUUACAAGGACUAUAUAACAAUGAUGGUGAUAGAUGAAAAUUAAAUGUUCUAAAUAUAAUUUCUAAUUGAAAGACAAUUUUAGAAAUUGCUUGUUCUUCUUAAUUUCACAUCUUAGGAUUCCUAUAUGUGAUAUUUAAUACCUUGUGACAUAACUAUUUUAAGAUACUUUGUUUUUAAAGAUGAUCAUAGCACUUUAAAACAAAUUUAGUAUGUCUAGCCUUACAGAAUGAUAAAUUACUAUUUAUUUAAAAACUAUUC
This 736-nucleotide small RNA is filed under the name Pongo abelii (Sumatran orangutan). RNAcentral's name for it is "processed transcript". The record is from RNAcentral. Lineage: Eukaryota; Metazoa; Chordata; Mammalia; Primates; Hominidae.